UGUCAUUCCAAAUCUGUAUUUUGAAAAAUAAAAUAUUGCUAACCAGUUUUGGUUACCAUAGAAAGUAAACAUCUGUCAAAAUAUCAGUUUUUAUGUUCCACAAAAGAACGAAAGUCUCAAAGGUUUGGAACGACACGAGGGACAAUAGAAAUGACUAACACAUCCCUAUGAGAAGAGAUGAGAAGGACAAUUACAGAAGAAGCACAACCUGGAGGGACAACUGCUUUCUAAGAUCUUUAUUGUGUAAAAAUCAUCAAUAUUCAAGGAGUUCAUAAAAAUCAUACAUCAACAGGAGAGACAGGAACUUUGGAAAGAUCAUUAAUGAUGGCAACAACUGCUGACCUUUCAGCUGAUUCUAACCCAAGCCAAACCGUGAAAUAUGAUCCAAAGUCGGAAACGGUGAUGUUACCAAAUGGGUUGGUUUCUGUGGCAGGUGUCACGGUGGUGACAGGGGGAGCAGAG
Molecule: long non-coding RNA, 462 nt
Organism: Cyprinus carpio carpio
Lineage: Eukaryota; Metazoa; Chordata; Actinopteri; Cypriniformes; Cyprinidae
Source: Ensembl